GGGUAAACAACACCUGCGGUGGCAAUGGGAAUCUGUGCUUGUUGCCCAACAUUAAAAUACUGCCUCAUCUCCUGACGUCUGUUGCGCAUGAUAGCCUUGUAUUCGCCAAUGCGUAAUUUUUUGCCAUCUACAAGGCAGGUACGCUUCGGCCUUGGCUUGUAUUUGUAGUCUGGGUACUUCUCCAGGUGCUGUUUGCUGAGUCGGGCCUGUUCCUCGUAGUAUGGCUGCUUCUCUAGGUUUGUCAUAGCUUUCCAGCGAGAUCCUAGUAUCUUGCUGAUAUUGGAGUUGUGCAUGUCAGGGAAGGCUUGAAGGAUCUUCCUCCGUUCAUCUUUAGCCCACACCAUGAAUGCAUUCAUUGGGCGCUUGAUAUGAGGCUCAUUACUGCCACGCCCUCUGGAUUCCCGAUAAAUUCUUGAUUCUGAAACUCCUGCACUUCCAUCAGAAUCUCCACUCAUGUUGAAAUCCAUCAUUGCGUGGCUAAACUUCCCGUCUUCACUCUGUUUUACUGCCAGUUGCUGAGUCAGGGUCUCCAGUGUCGUUUUGUCCUUUUCUGUCCUGCAGUUAUUGAGACCCAGACUAUUCACAACAGCCACCUUCCCGUCCAGCACCUGUUGUUCCCUCCGAAGUUGCUCCUUCAUCUGCCG
This 644-nucleotide long non-coding RNA is filed under the name Gallus gallus (chicken). The record is from RNAcentral. Lineage: Eukaryota; Metazoa; Chordata; Aves; Galliformes; Phasianidae.